UACGGGGGGGGCGAGCGUUGUUCGGAAUUACUGGGCGUAAAGCGUGCGUAGGUGGUGAGUUAAGUCUGUCGUGAAAGCCCCGGGCUCAACCUGGGAAUGGCGAUGGAUACUGGCUCGCUAGAGUGCGGUAGAGGAGAGUGGAAUUCCCGGUGUAGCAGUGAAAUGCGUAGAUAUCGAGAGGAACACCUGCGGCGAAGGCGGGUUGCUGGGCUGACACUGACGCUGAUGCGCGAAAGCCAGGGGAGCGAACGGG
RNAcentral lists this ribosomal RNA (253 nucleotides) under uncultured bacterium. RNAcentral describes it as "partial 16S ribosomal RNA". It matches the Rfam family "Bacterial small subunit ribosomal RNA", at positions 524 to 776 of the family's 1533-position model. The record is from RNAcentral.